Molecule: long non-coding RNA, 8442 nt
Organism: Homo sapiens (human)
Lineage: Eukaryota; Metazoa; Chordata; Mammalia; Primates; Hominidae
Exons: 5
Source: RefSeq, a predicted model, not a curated record
UGUGCCAUUGCACUCCAGCCUGGGUGACAGAGUGAGACUCUGUCUCAAAAAAAUAAAAAAUAAAUGAAUAAAUAUUCCCACUUGGAAUGAUUCAUUUGGUUGGAAGAUGUUCACCUGCAAAUAGGGAGGGCUACCUCCCUCUCCUAAAAAAUGAAAGGUAUCAUUGAGUUUUGUAUUAAAAACUCCAGGUUGCCAUAUGCAUCCUGCCUCCCUUCCUCUCUCUCUUCUAUGGUGACAGGCUCUGCCUUUUCCCAUGGUACCCUAGAAACUGCGAAUGCAAUGACAAUAUGGAGAGCAGGGACAGAAAGGAAGGGGAUAGGGUCUCCCUCUGUCUCCCAGGCUGGAGUGCAAUGGUGGGAUCUUGGCUCACUGCAGCUUUGAACUCCUGGGCUCAAGCGAUCCUCUCACUUCAACCUCCUGAGUAGCUGGGACUACAGGGCUUCUUCGCUGGAAUGAGGAAGAGGAGGAAGCCAAGGAAGACAGAGACUGUGGCAUCAGUACGGUAGCCUUUCCUAGUAAAGAGACAAGCAUAGCUGAGGAGAAGGGUCAGGAAUUUUCAGGAGUAACAUGAUGUCUCGGAGCAGUCUGUCCGAACACAGUGCCUCUUUUUAGGACUUAUCUAGAGAUAAACUUCAGUUUAGUUGUGGUCCUCUCUGAGCCUGCUUGGUCCAGAUGACGGCCUUUCAGGGUCAGAGAGGUUGCUGAACUCUGGUCUCAAGUGUUUCCUGAAGAAGCAAGUCCCUCCUGUUCCCUUCACACCUGGCCACCUUCACUGAUUCUUCAUGAGACUAGGAAAGUCCUGGUGCAAUUGUCAGCAAGUCAGGUCAUGAAAGAACCAAUGGGGAAGCGCCACCUUGCCACAUCUCUCAAAGCCCUUUCCCACUGCCCCAUCUUCCUAGUGGGGCCGAAGUAUGGCUGACCCUCCAGACCUCUAAAAGAUCCAUUGAUUAACAGAGCUGGAAGAGACCUCAAAGAUUCUUUGGUCCAGUGGUUUUCCACAAUCCUUUCUUCUACUGAAAUUUUACACAGAAUAGUUUAAGUGUAGCAAUUGGAUACAUCCUUAUUUUUUUGAGGCAGGGUUUCACUCUGUUGCCCAGGCUAGAGUGCAGUGGUGCCAUCAUAGCUCACUGCAGCCCUGACCUCCUGGGCUCAAGUGAUCCUCCUACCUCAGCCUCCUGAGUAGCUGGGACUACAGGCAUGCACCACCAUGCCAGCUAAUGAUUUUACUUUUAUUUUUAGUAGAGACGAGAUCUGGCUGUGUUUCCCAGGCUGGUCUUGAAUUCCUGAGCUCAAGUAUCCUCCUGUCUUGGUCUCCCAAAGUGCUGAACCACCGCACCUGGCUGGCAUGCAUCCAAUUUUGUAAUUGGAAGUAUAUUGAUGGGUUAAUUGCAUGUGGUCAAGGAGACUUGGAUUUGAAUCAGAAUGCUCCCCUAUCUAGUUCCUUGGUCUUGGGUUAUGAUUUCAUCUCUGCCUUGUUUGCAAAAAUGGAGCUCAAAAUCGCUACCUCAUUGAGCCAAGACCAUAGAAAAAAUGCUGAGUGCAAUGAUUGAUACAUAAUAAGCAUUUAAUAAAUGGUGGCAGUUAUUUAUGAUGAUGGAUAUUAAACAAGUGAGACUGUUUUGAUGAACACAGACAUUUGAAAUCAACGGUCGUAAGUGACAGUUGCUAUUUUAUACAAGCCUCAACAUUCAUUCGACUUCUGCAUUUUGUUUCAGAGGAAUCGUGCCAGGAAGACAAUUAUUAGUUCAGAAAAGCAGGUGCCUUACAAUCUUAGGAUACUCAAAUAAAAUAUUUGCAGUGUCCCUGAAGCACCUUUGAAGACUAGUUUGAGGACCUCUGAUCUACACCAAACCCCAGCUUUUAUCGUUGAAGACACUGGGGCUCAGGCAGUGGACUGUCUUGCUACAGUCAAGUGAGCUUGAUGUCUCACCUCCAUGGCGCACACAGGCCAGACAUGUAUGAGAGUAAUGAGUGCCUGGUGACAGCUCACUAGCCUGAUUCCCUUACGACUUCAAGACCAGUGCCCUUGGGAAGCAGUUCACAGCGUUUCAUGUAGGAAACAGAGCUAGAAGGGGCCGUUCUAUUACCUGGGAUGGGUGUUGCUUCUUGCCCUGGUGUUGGUUUGCAGUUUUGAUGGGGUUGGUGAUCGAGGGCACACCAUUCAGGUUCUGUUGGGACAAAGGCCAUCUCACUAUUAGGAAGAGGAAGUGGUGAGCCAGGUGCCUCGAGAAGGACCACCUAGUCAUCCCAGGGCCACCCCAUGCCUCAGCACUGUGGGAACCAGAGGCCAGAAGCCAGGGGGAGCAUAUACACCAGGGCACCUCAGCCAGGCCUGCCCCGCCCAGCCUGGUGUCAAGUUCUCCACUUGAAGAGGCUUUGAAACUAGGCAGAACAUGGCUCUGCCCUUAGAGGAGAGCCAGCCUUUCUGGGACUUUAUUAGCUAAUGAAGAACCCUUUAUAUAUAAGAUGAAAAAAAAGAAAAUAAAAAAAAAAUAAUCACAAGCAAGUCCACAGUUUUUUGUUUGUUUUAGAGACAGGGUCUCACUGUGUUGUCCAGGCUGGGGUCAAACUCCUGGGCCACAGCGAUCCUCCUGCCUCAGCCUCCCCAGUAGCUGGAAGUACAGGUGCACAUCAUUGUACCCAGCUGAAGUCCAAUGUUUAAUUGGCCUUUUAUACUUCUCAUGAAAAGAUGUAUAACCAGAUUUGGGGGAGGUGAAAUAAGUUCGAGUAACUGUGUGCAGGUAAACUCUGCUUUCCCCUGUAAAUGUGUUCUUUUUAUUUUUAUUUAUUUUUAUUUUUUGAGAUGGGGGUCUCGCUCUGUUGCCCAGGCUGAAGUGCAGUGGCACGAUCUGGGCUCACUGCAACCUCUGCCUCCCAGGUUCAAGUGAUUCUCCAGCCUCAGCCUCCCAAGUAGUGGGGAUUACCGGUGCCCAUCACCACUCCCAGCUAAUUUUUGUAUUUUUAGUACAGGCGGGGUUUCACCAUGUUGGCCAGGCUGGUCUUGAACUCCUGGCCUCAAGUGGUCCUCCUGCUGUGGCCUCCCAAAGUGCUGGGAGUACAGGCAUGAGCCACCACGCCCAGCCAAUGUGUCCUUUUUAAUAAUAACAUUUUGUCAAUGGAAUCCUCACUGAAAGGAACUCUAAGGUGGAUCUGUAGCUGUUGAAAAUCUGGUUCUGAAUCUUGGGUUUCCAUGAAGAAGUGCUGAGGGAUUUUCAAGUGAUUCCAAAGCACAGAAAAACCCCAAGGCCAUACCUCGUUGUGCAUCAGAGUGGUGAGGUCUGCGUUGGACCUGCUGGAACCAAGCAGAGGACACAGGAGCCACGUCAGUGAGGCCGACUCUUGGGAGGGGAGGUCCCCCUGCAUCAGGCGUUUGGUGUAAGGGACUUAAACUCUCUGGAUUCCAGUUUUCUAGUCUCCAGAGAAGACUAAUCUCUCCCUUGUCUUCCUUGCCUUCUGAGAUGCUGUAAGGAUUAGUGGGGCCAGGGGCCUGCUUCCUUCUGAGGGCAGGGGCAGCACUUUCCUUUGAUAUUAACAAUCGUCCUAACAGCAGAUGUGGAGUGGAUAUUAGAUACAGAGUGCACAUAUAUGGGCUUUAACCCCCAGACAUUGUUAAUCCUCAUCACAGAUCUAUGGUCCUGGCAUUCAUACCUCCAUUUACACCAGUACUUAGCACGGGGAUGCUAAGUGGCAGAGGAGGGUAGGAGUCCAGGAGUCUGUCUCUCUGGAAAGCCUAUGCCCCCUGACCAUGUUCUCACUGGCUGACUCUCAUGUUCUCACUGGCUGACUCUCAUGUUCUCACUGACUGACUCUGGGAAGACCACUAUCUAGAAAGGGGAACUUGUGAUAUGCGUAUCGGAGGUGACAGGAGCAGGGAGGGCCUGGAUUGUACUCAGGGAAAGUCAAGGGAGAGGGAGAGGGUGGCGGAGGGGGAGGACUUCUGAUCAGCAAGUACACCUCAGGGGGUGAGUCUCUCCCACCCCUGCUGGUCCCCAACCUUUGCCUUGAGGACAGAAGAAGAUGAGAACUUAGCCAUCAGUGUAACUGACACACUGAGUGAUCAGUGAAUGUUUCCAGUUUGUCUUAGUUGCGAGGACAGUGGGAGCCACCAGCUCAGCCACUGUGAAGACAGAGAGCGUAUUGGGCACACACAUGCGGGAUGUGGGUCCUGCGGCCAUGGUCCCUCUUCAGGCUCUGUCAGGGAAGGAUAAGAAGCUGACAGGCGUGCAGAGGGAAGUGUUCUUUGGAGUGAGUUCUUAGCCUGGGAGGAGAAUGUGCUGUGAUGUUUCCCUUCCCUUCUUCCCAAACUGGGUGAGGAGGGUAGGCGAGGAUCCUCAGGUAGCAUGGGAGGUGGUGGCCGCAAGAGUGCUGUCUGCACACCCAGCAAAUGACCCAGUUCCCACCAGCACAAAAGAUGCUUAGAGUUCUAGGGACAACUCAGGCUUUUCUUUUGGAGUUUGGGGAUACAUUUUUGUGUGGAAAAGAGCAAAGGCAAGAAGCCAGUAGGGUGAUGCCAGAGAGGCCACAGGGAGGAGAAAAGGCCACAGUGAGGAUGGCCUUUUCCUGGGUCACCUGGGACAGGCCUGCCCAGAGGCAGAGGCAGCCCCAAUACAGGGGUUGUGGGGGAGUUAACCACCAGAGCACAGGCCCUGGAGGGUGGCGUGAGUGUUAAUCCCAGAGCAAGGCCCUGCCAUCAGGCCUGAGGCCCUGCAGAGGGCGCCAUAAUGGGAUGCUCCAAAGACCCUGAAGGCAGUUGCCCCACAGAUGAAAGAGCCAGGGACUGAAAUCUCAGAGAGGGCACCAACCCCAGACCUCAAUAGCCCCCAUCCAGACCCUUCUCACCCAUUUAUCUUUCCUGUACCCUAGAGCUGCUGUCCUAAGCCCAGAAAAGUCAGAAGCAGCAGAGUGAGGGUGCGGUUAGGGGAGGAGGAGAAGAGGGAGGUGGAGGAAGACAGAAAGAAGCUCAACUCCCUCCCCCGACUUACUUUCACCUUCUUUCUUCUGCAGGCCUAGGGUGAGGGGUGGGUGGGUAUGGGAGAAGCUUUGGCUGAGAAGUUGAAGUUUUGAUUUGAAUUUGGACUAGUCUCCCAAAUGUCUGAACAUGAGAUUGUUAUAAUACCUGAAAGGAACCAGGAGAGCUACGGGAUUUGCCUGGGAUAUCAUCAAGGGUGAUGUCAUCAAGAAAUCCAAUAUGCUAUGAUUGAAGAUAGUGGUGGAGAAAAAUAAAGCGAUUUCCUGAUGGCACCCUUCCACGUCUGUCCCACUGUGAACGCUGAUUUCACCCAAUGUGCGUUCUCCUUUUUUACAACAAGGGCAAAUGACAGAGCUGAGCUGUAUUACAAAUCCAGCUUUUAAAUGUGGACUAUUCAUUGUGGCAUGCCUGUGGGCCACAUUUUGAAAUAGAAUCUCCAAAUGGAAUCAGCUGUUAAUAGAGCUUCCUCCAGGAAUGUCUGAGGCUGCUUCUCCUUUUCCAGCUCUGCUUCCCAUCAUCACAAGGCCCUCUCACCUCCUGUCCCCUCAUCCCCUACCUGUCACCUAAGUUUUCUUUGCCAUAUCUAACAAGACCAAAUCUACCAAGACCUUAUCUAAUAUCUAGAAAAUAUUUCAUGAUUCUCCAAGAAUCUGCAGUGGCAUCGAGAUGUGAACGGUUUUCCGUUAACAAAUUAAACAUACUAUUUUCCUAAAAGGGACAUGAAUUUAGAAGAGAUUCUGCAUGGUGGCUGUGUGGACAGUUCAUAUAUCCACUGAGAUUCAGUGUGGCCUUUUUAUUUCUUCCUCAUCACUGCAACACUGUGGUUAAGGGAGUGACUCUCCAGGUCCUGACAGGUCACUCCUAGGUAUGGAGAGGAAAUGGGGGAGGUUGGGCGGGGUGGGGGGGUGGUGUGGCAAGGUGGUGAGCUUGGGUGGUACAUCUCAAAGAGCUGUUUAUGGGUCUAGGUCCCCUCUUUUCUGACCUCCCCUAUGGACUCUGAGAGGCGCUGUCUGGGAGAGGGCAGUCAUACUCACUCUUCAUUGACAAAGAUGAGUUCCAGAGAAGGUUGGCUGUUCUUUACAUCCAGACCUAUGAGUAGCAAAGAAAAGCAGUAUGUGAGAGGUGGAGGCUGGGGCUGACCCUGUGGGUUGGAGCAUAGCUCAAGGGCUUAGGGCGGAGGUGGGCCAUAUGGAGUGGGUGACAUUUCUCCUUCCCUUUGCUCUGUAAAUAGAAUGGGGCUCAUGGAUGCAGACUGGCCCCAGGGUUUUGCAGUGAUCCUUGAGCAUUUGGGGGCAAAGAGCAGUGUGUACCCUUGAGCAUUUGGGGGAAAAGAGCCCAGAAGUGAAGGAGGAAGGAAGAGCCAGAACAGGGAGUUCAGGGAAGCUUCAGAGUCCAAGAGCUGGGAUGGGAAAGAGGAGAGAGGGAAGAGGAAGGGGAAUGUGGGGGCAUGGCUGAGGGGGUCCUGGGGUGGGCACAAAGUUGGGCAGUCUCCCUAGAGGAGCCAGGCAGGAGGACCCCAGGGGAGGUUGGAGGAGCAAAGGAGAGAUGAACUCCAGCAAACUGUACUGAUGGGUUCGGCCUCUUCGGUGUUGGAGUUGCCCGCCACGAGCUGCUCGUCCUCAGCACUGACCAGCUCCUGCAGCACGGCCUCCACGAUGGGCAUCACCAUGGCGGUGGUGGAGGUGUUGGACAGCCACAUGGACAGCAACGUGGUACAGCACAUGAAGCAGAGCAGCAGCCUGGAAGGCAGGGAGGGUUGGGGCAGAGCGUCCACGGAACACACAUCCCUGCGGCUCCACAGUGGGCCUCCUACCAACCUGCUGGGGCUGGUCUAGACAGCUGUGGCUGGAAAGGCAGGCAUUUGUCCUGCAGGGUGCCAUUCAGCUCUGUACUCCCAAUGCUUGGCACAGCGUGGAAUCACUGACUUUGCACAACUUGGGGACAGUACGUUUAUCAUGUGGACUCCAUUGGCUGACAGCGACUUGACUUUGCCAAUUCUGUACCUACACGGGUAACUGCCUCUGGGGGUGGCAACUUGCUGACUGAUGUAAAUAGGGAGGAGUGGAAAUGUGAGAGGAUAAAAAUUCUUGCAGAUAGUACACAGAGAUUUUAAAGAGCCACAGAGUCUCCAUAUGAUGUGACGAAAUGCCACUGUGUGCCUGGGAGGUUGAGUGUAGGGGCAAGAUUAUUACUGAGUUAGGGGGUGGAUUAAGCUGUAGUUAUCAGACCUGUUUGACAAUCUGGGAGACAGGAACAUGCUUUUAAGCAUAACCUAUAGUCAUCUAAAUGACUCAUACUGAGAACCAAUACUAUAUUAUUUAUUUAUACUCGUGUUGACUCCCAUAGGAGUCAGGGCAGCUUACAUAAAAUACAGCAAGAAAGUUGUAAACUAGAAGGAGGUGAGCAGGAUAUUCCAAAAGGGAAGGUACAGGCAGGGGAAUCCAAAUGGAACAUUGCUGAAGCUAACACAAAACUCAACCUUGACACCGUAACACAUUCCCCGAGGGUGGGACUCCCUCCCGCAUCACAGUCAAAUGCAGUGUCUCUAACUGGGUCUGUGGUCUGAACUGAUGACAAAAACUCAGGGUGGAUGGGAGGAAACAUUCCCGUCUCCUUCAGUGACAAAGGAGAAGACAGCCACUUCCGGUCCAGCCUGUUCCCUGAUACACAGGAAACAGGUUGGGAAACAAUUUCUCUUGGUCCAUCCUGUUUUACCUGAUGGGCCCCUAUAUGUUGUAAGCUGCUGCCCUUGCAGCCUAGGUCAAUGGGUAAAUUCUUUGGAUAAUGAUAGCAAGGUCACAGGUUUAAAUCUCUACUCCAUGAUCACAGGCCCUCUCCCUGGACGGGUCCUAUGGCUCUGGUGUCAGCCCGACCCUUUGGUAAAAAAACAGCUGAAGUGGACAUCCCGCAGUGACCUGAGACCACUGUCCUGGUGGCACACUGGGAGCUAGAAGGAUGCCCUAUGUCCUGGCAUCCCAAAUAAGACUUACAUGCCCGGCUUGGCUCCGGCCAUCAAGACCAUGCGCAGAGCAAUGCGCUUAUGCAGGUUCCACUUCUCCACGGCAGCCGCCACGCAGAUGACCCCCACCAGCAGCAGCGUGGUGUUCUUGAAGUACUCCGCCGCCACCUGUAGGGAGGCCAGGCAUGUCAGUCACCCUCCCGGACCAAAGACCCAGGGCCCAGCACCAGCUGGGAGAAUGGGCCAUACCCAAUAAAACCUGUUCUCAAUCAAAGAGGCUGGCGAAGGGGAGGCAGGGGGGUGAGGAUUAUUGAAAUAGCCGCCCAUCCUAGAGUCACAUCUACUGAGCGUUCAUUGUGGGCAGGCACUGUGCUAAGUACUUGACAGAUUAUUUCAUUCAAUCUGGCCCAUAACUCUAUAGGAUAGAUGUUCUUCUCCACUUUGGAAAACAUAAAACCACUGUAUUUAAAUAUGAUGUGAAUAUGAUUUUAAAGAAUAAACACAUAUAAUUUUA